Molecule: long non-coding RNA, 1890 nt
Organism: Hirundo rustica (Barn swallow)
Lineage: Eukaryota; Metazoa; Chordata; Aves; Passeriformes; Hirundinidae
Exons: 3
Source: RefSeq, a predicted model, not a curated record
CAGACCUGUGUUCGUAGGAAUAACUAUACAGAGUAACUGUACAGGUGCAGAGCGGGGCAGGAAUUGCAGAUCCUUUAGGACCGCUGGUUCAACCACUCCAAGGGCCGGCUCCUGCGCUUUGGCCACAACAACCCCAGGCAGCGCUGCAGGCUAGGGGCAGGGAAGGAGGAAAAGCAUCGGGAAAGCUGCCCCAGCAGAAAAGGACCCGAGGGUGCUGGUCAACAGCAGCUGAACGUGAGCCAGAGUGUGCCCAGGCGGCCAAGAAGGCCAAUGGCAGCCUGGCCUGGAUCAGCAAUAGCGUGGCCAGCAGGAGCAGGGCAGGGAUUGUCCCUCUGUCCCUCGGCACUGGUGGAGUUUACAUCUGAACUGUGACCAGUUCCUCCCUACGAGAAAGUCCAGAGAAGGGCAGCGGAGCUGGGGGAGGGUCUGGAGCACAAGUCCUGUGAGGCGCACCUGAGGGAGCUGGGGUUGUUCAGCCUGGGAAAAAGAGGCUUGGGAGACCUUACUGCUCUCGACAGCUGCCUGAGCGAAGGCUCCCAGGUAACAAGUGACAAGACAUGAGGACAUGGCCUCAGACUGCACCAGAGGAGGUUUAUGUUGGACAUCAAGAGGAACCCAUCACGGAACGGGUUGUUAAAUGUUGGAAUGGGCUGCCCCGUGGCAUGAAGUCACCAUCCCAGGAGGUGUUCAAGAAACAACUAGAUGUGAUGGCAUUUGGUGCUACGGUCUAGUUGACCGUGGUGGAUGAACAGUCAAAAGUUGGACUUGAUCUCAGAGUCUUUUCCAACCUAAAUGAUUCAGUGAUGCAGUGACCUCUCAGUCUGACAUUCAUCCAAGUCCUAACUGAAAUGUUAUUUUCAACACUGUGUGGUAAAACUGCACUUUAUAUAAGAAGUUCAGGCUGUGGGCAUCUCCUGGAUUUUAAGUCAAUGAGAUUCAAAUUGCCAGUGCUCUGAUUCAAAGAUCUUAAAAAUCUGCUUUGUUGUCUGCAAUUGCAUACUCACAUUCAGAAGGCCAAUCUCUGCUGCAAACAAACACCUUUUUUUUCAGACUUACAUAAUGACAACUUCUUAGAAAAGGGAAAAAAUAUUUGUAUGUAAGGAUUCUUACUACCUGCACGUAUGUCAUUCACCUGUAAAGCACCUACUUUUAGUGAGACUGCUGUCAAAACUCUGGAUUUAAGAAAAAACCCAAACAAAAAUCAGCAUGGUACCAGAUGCUGUGGAAGGUUUGGGGUUUAGGACUGUCUGUCAUCGACCAUUGAACUGCAAACAAGUAGACAGACCAGCAUGGAAAAGUAAGCUGAACCCCUAAAGCACAGCUGAGUCCGUUGCCUUCUCCUCACAACUGGCUUCAAGAGCACAAAAGAAUUUAAAAUGAGAGCAAAGCAUCUCAGAAAACUUGGUGACGGCCAGUGGAGACCAUGCCAGCUGUCAGAAAGAAGGAAACACACCCUCCCGGGUCACUUCCCUCACAGCUGCUUGAACACGCUGUUAGAGCCAGGCCCUGCAUUGUCCAGAUGGCAGGCAAAGAAUUUGUCUCAUGGCCCUCUGUGCAUUGCUGCUUUUGAAGAGUUCACAAACCAGCCUCAGUUCUUGCAGGCCCAAAGGAUUUUCCUCAUGCCAAAACUUGCCCUGUGCCUCUUUACUAAAGCUGCAAGACUAGCUGGAGCAGAGAAGCCUUGGAGCUUUUACUGUGCUUUGCAAACCUAGAUUACAUCGAUCACAUUGACUGGUCACAACGACUUUACUCAUACAAAGACCAGGUAAACAUCAGAGGCUCUGUGGGACUCAUGAGAGCAACACAGCCCCUUCCACCAACUAAAUGUAGUGGCACAGGAUACUGAUUUUGCUGCUUCAGUAAUAAAGUAUGUCUCAGCAUUUGGACUUA